AAAAACAAAACUCACUAUGAUAAUACGUGUGAUAUACCUAUCGUGAAUAAAGUCUAUCUCAUUUAAAACUAGGGAAAAUGAUCUAAGCUAUGCCGGACAACCCUCCAUUUAUGCCUUGAGGCCCCUCUGCAAUGAAGAUGGACUACGAUUUUCCUUGCAUACAGUGUCGCUCAUCAACAUGCCUCCCUGGAAUCUCAAUUUAUUCCGCUCCCUCC
This 215-nucleotide long non-coding RNA is filed under the name Nicotiana benthamiana. RNAcentral's name for it is "long non-coding RNA (NBEN_LNC025351)". The record is from RNAcentral. Lineage: Eukaryota; Viridiplantae; Streptophyta; Magnoliopsida; Solanales; Solanaceae.